UAUUUGUCUUCUACAACAGAGGACUUCGUUAUCGACAUGUUGUGGAUAGUGGCGCAAAUCUGACUGGGUCACCCCGCUAUGGUAACUGAGUAGACCAUACAGCCAGCAACUCGACGCCGAGUGUCAGGCAGCGGUAAAUAACCAGACUCUCUAAGGGGACCAACGGCUUCAGGCGGAGAAGCCCCUUUAGGUGGGGUGCUGGUCCCCUCAGUGGAGGAUAUGCCACUGAAAUCCAUCAUCUAGCGUCUGUUCUCCAGGUUAGGGGCGGCUGCAAAAGGCGUCUGUUCCCCAAGUUAGGGGCAGCCUAAAACAAGCCUUAAGGAAAGCAAUGGGAAACUACCUCAAGAUUUUCUUUCCCAAGAAAACCCAUCAUGGAUUUGAAUUCUGAUGGGUCACCAACUUUAUACACUGAAAGCUGGACUGAUAAUGAUAAUCCAUUUAAUUGCUAUGUGGUUCCCAUUUACUGUCACCUCUCUUCACAGAAAAAUACCUAAAGUAGCAAUAAAAGUAAAGUGUGGGUACAUAUGUUUUGCUGCAAAGUGGUUGGGUUACUUUCCAAUUCCAUUCAGUAGAUCAUCAGCCCGACAAUAAUGAAGAAAAUGAAAACUAAGACAGAGCAGAAAACAAACAAUUAUGUAUCUCGUUAUGGUUAUAAUUAUAAUACAAGGUGAGAAUUUCAUUGCACACCCAGAUGACCUCAGGACACCGUUUGCGCAUCACUGGUUCAAGUGACGCAGUUAACUACUGUUGGAUGUAGGUUUCAUGUCAGUUUUCUGAGCCUUUGCUUGGACUUUAGUAGAUCUAGGCCAGACAUAUCAUUUAGUUAUCAUAGAGAUAAUAGUGGUGAAGUAAUGAGUUACACUGACAAAGAUAAAAUUGUUAAUAUGAAAUAAACCCAAAACAGAAAACAGUGAGUGUGCAGAAAGAGAUUAACACUUACUUAUGUGACUGACGUUGGGUUGAAUUCUCAACUGUAGACAGGAUGACAUCACCAUUUUUCAUGAUAUUCAAAAAAAAAAUACUGCAGUAGUAUCUUGUAGUAGGUCAUUAAACUUCCUUCCAUAUCCUUCUAAAUUCAUUAUUCACAAUCAUGUCAUCAUGAAGUUGAUAAAGGGAUAUUCAGUAAAUCAAGAAUGUAAGGGUGGCCAUACAUGCUACAAGUUACUGGAAGGCUUACGUCUGGGAAGGCAAACCGGAGCGUGGUUAAUUUUGCCAGAAGGUUUGGCCGGAAAUCGAGCCUCCGAUAAAUCUGCAGUCGCUUUAUUUUUUUACCUGGAGGUUUACACAGAUGUUUACAAGUCGUAACAUGUGUGGGCAAAGACAAAGGUAGAGGUAAGACUUGUAGCAUUUAGUCAUCUCAGUCAGCACAGCACUAUACAGAAUUGUUUGUUUUGUGAUUAACAUUAUUGGCGUGAUGGAUGAUUUGAGAUCCUGGCCUCAUGAAUUCAUCUCCGAAUUCAUUGAGUUUUACAGGUCUCUGCCUUGUUUGUACAACAUAAAAAGCAAGCAGUACUCAAGCAAACAAUUGAUAAACUGCAUGUUUAAGCUUGUUGGAAAAAUGCAAAAAAUGGAUUGUAUUGCAACAAAGGAUACCGUAGCAAAGAAUAUCAACAAUAUACGCAAUUCUUACAGAAAGAGCUUAAGAAAGUGGCACAGUGUAAAAAAAAAGCAGUGCAAGCUGAGAAGUAUAGGAACCAUCUCUUGGGUAUUUCCACAUGACCUGGAAAUCCCUAGAGGCAGCAUAUCCAACAUGCCGAUUGUUGAGAGUUGUACAGAAGAGGAGAAUGGGGUAAGCAUAAACAAAUCAUAUUGGUAGCAAACAAAUAUAUAUUUUCAGGCAACUUAUUAUAACAUGUAGCUAUCCAGAUUAAAAACCCCAAUUUUCAAUGGGGACACUUUUCUCGCUGCAAAAGUCAAUUGUUUUUAAAAUAUUCCAGAAAUAACUCUCGCACUUGUUUACCUUAUUUACUGCUGUAUCUAUUAUGUCCUCUGUGUCUUAACUACUUGAAUUUGCUUAAUCAUUAUCAUUACUGAGAAAGUCGCAGUAAGAACUGGGGUAUUUUUUGCGUAAAAAGUUAUGCACGGCUCAAACACUCAUGGAUUCAGCAUUAUCUAAUGAUACCCCAAGUGCUGUAUGAAACACUCGAAACCAGUUGGCCAGGAUUCCAAUUACAUUUUCUAUAAUUCACCUAGCACUGCUUAACUGAAAUGUAAGCAGUCAUGCUUCUACUCCUUUUCACUGUACGAUUUCAAAAAAUAUUUUCAUCACCAAUGAAAACGUAUGGAGGAAGAUUGUUGUUGUUUUCAGGUGGUAAUUUCAAUUUACCUUCCACUAAUGCUUUGUAAAAUGUUGUAUUGUUGAUAACAUCACCAUCUGAAAUGCUUCCGUUAGUUCCAACAUCAAAUAAUAUUAACUCAUAAUUGCUAUUAGUGACUACCAUCAGAACUACAUUGUGAAAUCCUUUGUAAUUCCAAAAAUAUGACCCACUUCCAGGUGGGAGAACAAUUCAAAUGUGUUUCCCAUCGUCUGUGCCGACAGAUUGGAAAUUGUAGUCUUUUCUCAAAUUACAACCCAAAUUCUUUCCAUUCAUUCUCCGAUUCAGGAAACUGUAAAAGAAAAGUGUAUUAGAUGUAUAUUCUGUUGGAUUUUGUUUCAUAAAAGAAAAGUUCAUUAACAUGUAUAUUUCAGGAAGAAAUCGAAAGCAACAAUGCAGCUGCAUCGCAGCCGCUGUCACGCCUAUUUCAUUAGGUAGCAGCACAUUGUCUAGAGAUGGCAGAAAGAGGAAGAUUCAGCAUACCAAUAAGCAGGACAUGGUACUGAACUUGGUAGCAGAGAGGCUGCAGAGUCGGCCAGCAUACUCCAACUACGGUGCACAUAUUGCUGAAGAACUUUCAGCAUUUUACACCGAAUGAAUGAAUACCUUCCAGCACCCACAUCUAACACUGCCUUGCAGAACUAAUAUUUCAAUAAAUAUUUUUGUUCUAUAAUUGCAGAUAUUUGAAUAAAUAUUUAUGACUUA
Molecule: non-coding RNA, 3020 nt
Organism: Zootermopsis nevadensis
Lineage: Eukaryota; Metazoa; Arthropoda; Insecta; Blattodea; Termopsidae
Source: RefSeq, a predicted model, not a curated record